AACGAACGCUGGCGGCAGGCUUAACACAUGCAAGUCGAACGGGUGUAGCAAUACAUCAGUGGCAGACGGGUGAGUAACACGUGGGAACCUUCCUAGGGGUACGGAACAACUCAGGGAAACUUGAGCUAAUACCGUAUACGUCCGUAAGGAGAAAGAUUCAUCGCCCCUAGACGGGCCCGCGUCGGAUUAGGUAGUUGGUGGGGUAACGGCCUACCAAGCCUACGAUCCGUAGCUGAUCUGAGAGGAUGAUCAGCCACACUGGGACUGAGACACGGCCCAGACUCCUACGGGAGGCAGCAGUGGGGAAUCUUGGACAAUGGGCGCAAGCCUGAUCCAGCCAUGCCGCGUGAGUGAAGAAGGCCUUAGGGUUGUAAAGCUCUUUUACCAGGGACGAUAAUGACGGUACCUGGAGAAUAAGCCCCGGCAAACUUCGU
Molecule: ribosomal RNA, 434 nt
Filed under: uncultured bacterium
Lineage: Bacteria
Description: bacterial SSU rRNA
Rfam family: Bacterial small subunit ribosomal RNA
Source: RNAcentral